UAAGAGAGUCAUAGUUACUCCCGCCGUUUACCCGCGCUUUUUUGAAUUUCUUCACGUUGACAUUCAGAGCACUGGGCAGAAAUCACAUUGCGUCAUCACCCGUGAGGGCCAUCGCAAUGCUUUGUUUUAAUUAGACAGUCGGAUUCCCCUAGUCCGUGCCAGUUCUGAGCUAAGCGUUGAAUGGCGGCCGAAGAAGCGACCACGACGGCGUAACCGCCACGGAAGCCUCGCAGCAAGGAAGAUCCGCGGGAGGCCAAGGCACGGGACCGAGCUCGGAUCCCGGGACGCGACCGAAGUCGCCAACCGUUCACCUCGCCCAGGCCCGGCACGUCAGCCAGACCCGCUUCCCGACCAAGCCCGACACGCCCCGCUCCUCAGAGCCAAUCCUUAUUCCGAAGUUACGGAUCCAAUUUGCCGACUUCCCUUACCUACAUUAAUCUAUCGACUAGAGGCUCUUCACCUUGGAGACCUGCUGCGGAUAUGGGUACGAACCGGCGCGACACCUCCACGUGGCCCUCUCCUGGAUUUUCAAGGUCCGAGGGGAAGAUCCAGACACCGCCGCAACUGCGGUGCUCUUCGCGUUCCAAACCCUAUCUCCCUGCUAGAGGUUUCCAGGGAACUCGAACGCUUAUACAGAAAAGAAAACUCUUCCCAGAUCUCCCGACGGCGUCUCCAGGUCAUUUUGGGUUACCCCGACGAACACUCUUACGAGGGCCCGAAUGGUAUGCGGUUCCGCUGCCGGGUUCCGGAAUAGGAACCGGAUUCCCUUUCGCCCAAUGGGUGUGCAUCUCUGCAACUAUUGUGUUAUAUUAAUUCGAUUUAGCCAUAUUUAACAGUUUUGUUUUGUUGCCAUUUAUCUGAGAGCUUUAGGACACCUCAUUUACAUAGGAUUUCUCUUAGGGCUUAGGAUCGACUGACUCGUGUGCAACGGCUGUUCACACGAAACCCUUCUCCACGUCAGUCCUCCAGGGCCUCGCUGGAGUAUUUGCUACUACCACCAAGAUCUGCACCGACGGCGGCUCCAGGCAGGCUCACGCCCAGACCCUUCUGCGCACACCGCCGCGACCCUCCUACUCGUCAGGGCUUCAUGGAGGACCAAAUUUUGUCCAGCCCCACUUGCCACUGACGGCGGAGUAUAGGCGCGACGCUUCAGCGCCAUCCAUUUUCAGGGCUAGUUGCUUCGGCAGGUGAGUUGUUACACACUCCUUAGCGGAUUCCGACUUCCAUGGCCACCGUCCUGCUGUCUUAAGCAACCAACGCCUUUCAUGGUAUCCCAUAAGCGUCGACUUAGGCGCCUUAACUCUGCGUUUGGUUCAUCCCACAGCGCCAGUUCUGCUUACCAAAAUUGGCCCACUUGGCACUCUGAUCCAAUAAUAAAAUCUCAUGGCUUCAUUUGAUGCAAGCAAGCCAGAGAUCUCACCCAUUUAAAGUUUGAGAAUAGGUUGAGGUCGUUUCGGCCCCAAGGCCUCUAAUCAUUCGCUUUACCAGAUGAGACUCGCAAUAACGUUUCGAGCGAGUGCCAGCUAUCCUGAGGGAAACUUCGGAGGGAACCAGCUACUAGAUGGUUCGAUUAGUCUUUCGCCCCUAUACCCAGUUCCGACGAUCGAUUUGCACGUCAGAAUCGCUACGGACCUCCAUCAGGGUUUCCCCUGACUUCGUCCUGACCAGGCAUAGUUCACCAUCUUUCGGGUCCCAACGUGUACGCUCUAGGUGCGCCUCUUCUCGCAAUGAGAACGAGACGCCCCGGGAGUGCGAGGCCUAAUCGUAACGAGGCCCAUCCUCCCUAGGUCGACACAGAGGACGACAUUCACUUUCAUUUCGCCUUUAGGUUUAUUUAUAUCCCAAUGACUCGCGCACAUGUUAGACUCCUUGGUCCGUGUUUCAAGACGGGUCCUGAGAGUACCCAAAGCAAUAGCGUCGCCGACCGGUAAUUCAAAGCUUGGCCAGUCCAAGGACUCCUCCUGCUAACAGCUGGCCAGGCCCGGGGACGGCGCAUAGUCCGUACAUCCGGGUAUUAUAACUGAACCUAGCUUGCGGCGGUCCUGACGCACACACAUUCGAAAAUGGAUUGGUUGCGGCCCGAUACCGUCUGAGUACCGUCGCGCAGUCGGCCAGGCAACCGAGGGUCUGUCACGAACGCCGUUAAAGCGACGGACAGGCUCCGCCUCGGACCGUAGACCGACACGCAACGGGUCGCGACGUUCUACUAGGGCAGAAGUGCACGACUACCUCGCCGGAACGUUCGCCGAAGGUGGCGUGCCCUCGCUAAUGGAACCCGAGGGUCCAUCCGGGGCAUCGCGCACCAACGGGAGCCAGCGUGGUUGACGAUGAAUCUCCCCAUUCGAUCUUUUGGGUUUCUCAGGUUUACCCCUGAACGGUUUCACGUACUCUUGAACUCUCUCUUCAAAGUUCUUUUCAACUUUCCCUCACGGUACUUGUUCGCUAUCGGUCUCGUGGUCGUAUUUAGCCUUAGAUGGAGUUUACCACCCACUUAGGGCUGCACUCUCAAGCAACCCGACUCUAAGGAGAGAUCCUCCCGAAACGCGUACCGGUCACUACGGGCCUGGCACCCUCUAUGGGUAAAUGGCCCCAUUCAAGAUGGACUUGGACGCAAUUCGAUGUCUCGGGAUAAACGGAUCCUCCUGAACACUACAUUUCCCAGCGGCGGUACCGCGGGAUUCAGUGCUGGGCUCAUUCCUGUUCGCUCGCCGCUACUAAGGAAAUCCUAGUUAGUUUCUUUUCCUCCGCUUAAUAAUAUGCUUAAAUUCAGCGGGUAAUCUCGCCUACUCUGAGGUCGUCAAUUUCUUUGGUUUCAUCGAAAGGUGAAUAUGAUGCUCGAUGCAAAAAAAAAUAAAAAAAUAAACGAAAAGAAGCAAAAAAGCAAACACG
This is a long non-coding RNA of Osmia bicornis bicornis, 2889 nucleotides long. RefSeq lists it as uncharacterized. The record is from RefSeq and is a predicted model, not a curated record. NCBI's taxonomy places the organism in Eukaryota, Metazoa, Arthropoda, Insecta, Hymenoptera, Megachilidae. The transcript is spliced from 2 exons.